Molecule: unclassified non-coding RNA, 378 nt
Filed under: plant metagenome
Description: partial contains 5.8S ribosomal RNA, internal transcribed spacer 2, and large subunit ribosomal RNA
Rfam family: 5.8S ribosomal RNA (bases 1-105)
Source: RNAcentral
GAAAUGCGAUAAGUAAUGUGAAUUGCAGAAUUCAGUGAAUCAUCGAAUCUUUGAACGCACCUUGCGCUCCUUGGUAUUCCUUGGAGCAUGCCUGUUUGAGUAUCAUGAAAUCUUCAAAGUAAAUCUUUUGUUAACUCAAUUGGUUUCUACUUUGGUAUUGGAGGUCUUUGCAGCUUCACACCUGCUCCUCUUUGUUCAUUAGCUGGAUCUCAGUGUUAUGCUUGGUUCCACUCGGCGUGAUAAGUUAUCUAUCGCUGAGGACACUGUAAAAGGUGGCCAAGGUAAAUGCAGAUGAACCGCUUCUAAUAGUCCAUUGGCUUGGACAAUACUUUUAUGAUCUGAUCUCAAAUCAGGUAGGACUACCCGCUGAACUUAAGC